UAAAAAAGCCCAGGUAAUGAGUUUGACCGAGACAAUCCCAUCUCUUCUUACAUCCGUACAUCAUGUUACUUUUUUUCUCACACCUGCAUCUUCAGCGGAGGUGCGACUCGUAAGAAACGAGGCUGCCGUCCGCUGAGAAGCAUUGUAACGUUUAAGGUUUGAUGAUGCCUUCAUGAGCCCAUAAUGAGAAGGAAUGGGGGUCGACCGGCGACGUUAACCCACUAAUAAAAUCUGCCUCCCUUUAAAGGGUGUGAGAAAACCACAAUUACCCCCCUGACAUUUUUCUACUGCAUGAUUUAUGAACUGAAUAUUGCAUCUCCCUCUCUAACCCUUAUUCUAGCUGGGGAGUAAUAAAGGGAAGUUAAGGGGCAGUAUUGACCGGCCUAAAAGUAGUCUUUGAUUUGCCACAGACCCGCGGAUGAACGGGGGAGAGGAGAGGAGAGGAGAAAAGAGGAGAGGAAAAGUGAGGAGAGCUCAGCUAUUGAUGAGUUUUUCUCUCCCACGGCCCUCCACCAUGCGGCCGCCGGCCGUCUGGACACCCGCCACGUGUGAACAAGCUUUCAGCUCACAUCAUCUUCUCCACUUCCACCUAUAAUUGGCCAUAUGUGUCACCAGCGCCCUGCUGCCACUGCUGCUGCUGCCGCUGCUGCUUCUGGAGGGGAGGAAAAAGGAGAUCACAGCUUUGACAAGGGGGGAAAAUCCAUCCAUGACACCUAAAAGUGACAGAGCAGGUGGCCACCUCAGGCGCAGACCUGCUGAGCCGCAUGUCCCAGCAAGACCAAUACCAUCACAAACAAAGAGUGGGGCCCCAUGGAGCACACAUGUGGAGAGAAGGUCACCGACCGUGCUGAACCUGCCGACACAAACAGCAUCAUCCACCCUGUCGAGACCACAUCUCGGAGAGCCCCCCCCCCCCCGGUUCAGAUUCUGGACGUCCCCCGGUCCCCCUGUGCCUGUCGGGGUAAAUUACUGUCAUCCCAGCGCUGCCGAGCUCUACACAUAGCCUAUUAAAAUGUAUGGAGACAUUCACGUCACAUGAAAUUUAUUAUUCUAAGAUGGCUUGAGAGCACAUAUCCAUAUAUCCUCCAUGCUUAUAGGCAGUGUUCUUCUUGGGUUUUAUAUGUUAAUCCUGAUUAUCGCAGAUGUACUUCAAGGAAGCUGUUUGGGUUACAACACCACUCAGACACAUCUGCAGGCUCCGUGAUCUGAAGUGUGACUCGGUAUCCUCGAGCAUAGAAGAAGCCGUUGAUGAUGAAAUAAAAGCAUUUGCUGGUCUCUCGCCCCUGAUGAUGGCAUUAUUUGUCCGUGUCUUCCAAACAUUAAAGUAUCUAAAUAAAUAAAUCUUCA
Molecule: long non-coding RNA, 1347 nt
Organism: Acanthopagrus latus (yellowfin seabream)
Lineage: Eukaryota; Metazoa; Chordata; Actinopteri; Spariformes; Sparidae
Exons: 3
Source: RefSeq, a predicted model, not a curated record